GAGCUGGGCUGAGCUGGGCUGAGCUGGGCUAGACUGGGCUAGACUGGGCUGAGCUGAGCUGAGCUGAGCUGGGCU
Molecule: microRNA precursor, 75 nt
Filed under: Otolemur garnettii (small-eared galago)
Lineage: Eukaryota; Metazoa; Chordata; Mammalia; Primates; Galagidae
Description: miRNA (ENSOGAG00000030481.1)
Source: RNAcentral